This 152-nucleotide unclassified non-coding RNA is filed under the name fungal sp. Its description in RNAcentral is "partial internal transcribed spacer region". The stretch from base 1 to 46 matches the Rfam family "Eukaryotic small subunit ribosomal RNA", at positions 1786 to 1831 of the family's 1831-position model. The record is from RNAcentral. Lineage: Eukaryota; Fungi.
AAGUCGUAACAAGGUUUCCGUAGGUGAACCUGCGGAAGGAUCAUUAGAAAUUUUUUAUGUAUUCAAAAAUUUUCGAAUCUUGAUAUCUAAAAAAAAAUAUAAUUAUUAAUUAAUUCAUGAGACAACUUUCAACAACGGAUCUCUUGGCUCUU